RNAcentral lists this ribosomal RNA (292 nucleotides) under uncultured bacterium. RNAcentral describes it as "partial 16S ribosomal RNA". It matches the Rfam family "Bacterial small subunit ribosomal RNA", at positions 505 to 796 of the family's 1533-position model. The record is from RNAcentral.
GUGUCAGCAGCCGCGGUAAUACGGAGGGUGCGAGCGUUAAUCGGAAUUACUGGGCGUAAAGCGCGCGUAGGCGGUUCGUUCAGUCCUUUGUGAAAGCCCUGGGCUUAACCUGGGAAUGGCAGGGGAUACUGGCGGGCUAGAGUGUGGUAGAGGGUAGCGGAAUUUCCGGUGUAGCAGUGAAAUGCGUAGAGAUCGGAAGGAACACCAGUGGCGAAGGCGGCUAUCUGGACCAACACUGACGCUGAGGUGCGAAAGCGUGGGGAGCAAACAGGAUUAGAUACCCGUGUAGUCC